This 311-nucleotide ribosomal RNA is filed under the name uncultured Glomus. Its description in RNAcentral is "SSU rRNA". It matches the Rfam family "Eukaryotic small subunit ribosomal RNA", at positions 569 to 887 of the family's 1831-position model. Lineage: Eukaryota; Fungi; Glomeromycota; Glomeromycetes; Glomerales; Glomeraceae. The record is from RNAcentral.
AGCAGCCGCGGUAAUUCCAGCUCCAAUAGCGUAUAUUAAAGUUGUUGCAGUUAAAAGCUCGUAGUUGAAUUUCGGGAUCAAUACGUCGGUCGUGCUUCGGUACGUACUGGCGUAAUUGAUUUCUCCCUUCUGACGAACCAUGAUGUCAUUAACUUGGUGUCAUGGGAAAUCAGGACUGUUACUUUGAAAAAUUAGAGUGUUUAAAGCAAGCUAACGCUUGAAUACAUUAGCAUGGAAUAAUGAAAUAGGACGUUCGAUCCUAUUUUGUUGGUUUCUAGGAUUGACGUAAUGAUUAAUAGGGAUAGUUGGGG